RNAcentral lists this ribosomal RNA (1611 nucleotides) under Kurthia zopfii. RNAcentral describes it as "bacterial SSU rRNA". It matches the Rfam family "Bacterial small subunit ribosomal RNA". The record is from RNAcentral. Lineage: Bacteria; Bacillati; Bacillota; Bacilli; Caryophanales; Caryophanaceae.
UAAGCAAUUGUUAUCAUAGAUAACGCUAGCAAAGCAAAUGAGCUUUCAAACACUUUUUAUGGAGAGUUUGAUCCUGGCUCAGGACGAACGCUGGCGGCGUGCCUAAUACAUGCAAGUCGAGCGAGAUUAUUUGAGUGCUUGCACUCGAAUAAUCUAGCGGCGGACGGGUGAGUAACACGUGGGCAACCUGCCCUACAGUUUGGGAUAACUCCGGGAAACCGGGGCUAAUACCGAAUAAUCCUUCGAAUCACAUGGUUUGAAGUUGAAAGGCGCUUCGGCGUCGCUGUAGGAUGGGCCCGCGGUGCAUUAGCUAGUUGGUGGGGUAAUGGCCUACCAAGGCAACGAUGCAUAGCCGACCUGAGAGGGUGAUCGGCCACAUUGGGACUGAGACACGGCCCAAACUCCUACGGGAGGCAGCAGUAGGGAAUCUUCCACAAUGGACGAAAGUCUGAUGGAGCAACGCCGCGUGAGUGAUGAAGGUUUUCGGAUCGUAAAACUCUGUUGUAAGGGAAGAACAAGUGCGUUAGGUAAUGAACGCACCUUGACGGUACCUUAUUAGAAAGCCACGGCUAACUACGUGCCAGCAGCCGCGGUAAUACGUAGGUGGCAAGCGUUGUCCGGAUUUAUUGGGCGUAAAGCGCGCGCAGGUGGUUUCUUAAGUCUGAUGUGAAAGCCCACGGCUCAACCGUGGAGGGUCAUUGGAAACUGGGGAACUUGAGUGCAGAAGAGGAUAGUGGAAUUCCAAGUGUAGCGGUGAAAUGCGUAGAGAUUUGGAGGAACACCAGUGGCGAAGGCGACUGUCUGGUCUGUAACUGACACUGAGGCGCGAAAGCGUGGGGAGCAAACAGGAUUAGAUACCCUGGUAGUCCACGCCGUAAACGAUGAGUGCUAAGUGUUAGGGGGUUUCCGCCCCUUAGUGCUGCAGCUAACGCAUUAAGCACUCCGCCUGGGGAGUACGACCGCAAGGUUGAAACUCAAAGGAAUUGACGGGGGCCCGCACAAGCGGUGGAGCAUGUGGUUUAAUUCGAAGCAACGCGAAGAACCUUACCAGGUCUUGACAUCCCAAUGACCGCUCUAGAGAUAGAGUUUUCCCUUCGGGGACAUUGGUGACAGGUGGUGCAUGGUUGUCGUCAGCUCGUGUCGUGAGAUGUUGGGUUAAGUCCCGCAACGAGCGCAACCCUUAUUCUUAGUUGCCAUCAUUUAGUUGGGCACUCUAAGGAGACUGCCGGUGACAAACCGGAGGAAGGUGGGGAUGACGUCAAAUCAUCAUGCCCCUUAUGACCUGGGCUACACACGUGCUACAAUGGACGAUACAAAGAGUCGCAAACUCGCGAGGGCAAGCUAAUCUCAUAAAAUCGUUCUCAGUUCGGAUUGUAGGCUGCAACUCGCCUGCAUGAAGCCGGAAUCGCUAGUAAUCGUAGAUCAGCAUGCUACGGUGAAUACGUUCCCGGGCCUUGUACACACCGCCCGUCACACCACGAGAGUUUGUAACACCCGAAGUCGGUGGGGUAACCAUUUAUGGAGCCAGCCGCCUAAGGUGGGAUAGAUGAUUGGGGUGAAGUCGUAACAAGGUAGCCGUAUCGGAAGGUGCGGCUGGAUCACCUCCUUUCU